AUCUGGGUGGCGAAAUUCAGAAUGGCUGMCGGGCUUCGCGCCUAUUCGGCCGUUUGAUAUUUUCGUCGCCGUGUCAGACGUCGCGACCUGUUUGUCGUCGGUCCUUGUUCAAAGGAGUCGCAAUCGAGUUCAUUGUGGGUGCGCUUCGGCGCACCAUACGGUGAAGAUGCGAAUUUCUGGCUGACGAUAGACAGUAAGCAAUGGUGACCGAUGCUGUGUUUUGUAUGCAGCAUUGGCACCGGUCAGCGACGAUUUCUUCGGGCCUCUUUCCGACCCGUCUUGAAACACGGACCAAGGAGUCUAACAUACGCGCGAGUCGCGGGGUAUCGAGCGUACUACGGUGCGCUCGGCACAUUUUGAAACCCGUAUAUGUUGAAGGCGUAAUGAAAGUAAAUGGGGAAGAUGGUGUUCCGAGUAAACGUACUGUGAUUCAUCACAGCCGGACGCCCGCAUUCCCGGGGCGUCUCAAAUGUUCGUUGCGGAUGCGGCCGGUCGUCUUUCGGGGUGAUCGGCGGUCUGCAACGGUCUGAGGCGCACCUAUAGCGUGUACGUUGGUACCCGAAAGAUGGUGAACUAUGCCUGGCCAGGAUGAAGUCAGGGGAAACCCUGAUGGAGGUCCGCAGCGAUUCUGACGUGCAAAUCGAUCGUCUGAGCUGGGUAUAGGGGCGAAAGACUAAUCGAACCAUCUAGUAGCUGGUU
RNAcentral lists this ribosomal RNA (699 nucleotides) under Diaspididae sp. D2011A. RNAcentral's name for it is "eukaryotic LSU rRNA". It matches the Rfam family "Eukaryotic large subunit ribosomal RNA", at positions 434 to 956 of the family's 3401-position model. Lineage: Eukaryota; Metazoa; Arthropoda; Insecta; Hemiptera; Diaspididae. The record is from RNAcentral.